RNAcentral lists this ribosomal RNA (407 nucleotides) under uncultured bacterium. Its description in RNAcentral is "partial 16S ribosomal RNA". It matches the Rfam family "Bacterial small subunit ribosomal RNA", at positions 28 to 526 of the family's 1533-position model. The record is from RNAcentral.
GACGAACGCUGGCGGCGUGCCUAAUACAUGCAAGUCGGACGCAGUUGCGAACGUGUGAGUAACGCGUAGGUCACUGCCUAUUAAUGGGGGCUAACUAUUGGAAACGAUAGCUAAUACCGCAUACUAGUUGAUGGACCUGCGUUGUAUUAGCUAGUAGGUCGGGUAAUGGCCUACCUAGGCGACGAUACAUUACCGAGCUGGGAAGGGGAUGCGCCAAACUGGGAAUGAGGAACGGACCAGACUCCUACGGGAGGCAGCAGGAGGGAAUCUUCGGCAAAGGGGGGAACCCUGACCAAGCAACUACGGGGUGGUGAAAAAGGGUUUCGGAGCGGAAAGCUCGGUUGUGAAGGAAGCGGUACGUAACCAGAAAGGGACGGCUAACUACGUGCCAGCAGCCGCGGUAAUAC